UGGGGAAUAUUGCACAAUGGGGGAAACCAUGAUGCAGCGACACCGCGUGAACGAAGAAGGUAUUCGUAUCGUAAAGUUCUGUCCUAUGGGAAGAUAAUGACAGUACCAUAGAAGAAAGCUCCGGCUAAAUACGUGCCAGCAGCCGCGGGAAUACGUAAGGAGCGAGCGUUGUCCGGAAUUAUUGGGCGUAAAGGGUAUGCAGGCGGUUUAAUAAGUCGAAUGUUAAAGAUCGGGGCUCAACCCCGCAAAGCAUUGGAAACUGAUAAACUUGAGUAGUGGAGAGGAAAGUGGAAUUCCUAGUGUAGUGGUGAAAUACGUAGAUAUUAGGAGGAAUACCAGUAGCGAAGGCGACUUUCUGGACACAAACUGACGCUGAGGUACGAAAGCGUGGGGAGCAAACAGG
This 403-nucleotide ribosomal RNA is filed under the name bacterium. RNAcentral's name for it is "partial 16S ribosomal RNA". It matches the Rfam family "Bacterial small subunit ribosomal RNA", at positions 355 to 776 of the family's 1533-position model. The record is from RNAcentral.